RNAcentral lists this ribosomal RNA (497 nucleotides) under uncultured bacterium. RNAcentral describes it as "partial 16S ribosomal RNA". It matches the Rfam family "Bacterial small subunit ribosomal RNA", at positions 28 to 507 of the family's 1533-position model. The record is from RNAcentral.
GAUGAACGCUGGCGGCGUGCCUAAUACAUGCAAGUCGAGCGAACGGACGAGAAGCUUGCUUUUCUGAUGUUAGCGGCGGACGGGUGAGUAACACGUGGAUAACCUACCUAUAAGACUGGGAUAACUUCGGGAAACCGGAGCUAAUACCGGAUAAUAUUUUGAACCGCAUGGUUCAAAAGUGAAAGACGGUCUUGCUGUCACUUAUAGAUGGAUCCGCGCUGCAUUAGCUAGUUGGUAAGGUAGCGGCUUACCAAGGCAACGAUGCAUAGCCGACCUGAGAGGGUGGUCGGUCACACGGGAACUGAGACACGGUCCAUACUCCUACGGAGAGCAGCGGUAGGGAAUCUUCCGCAAUGGGCGAAAGCCUGACGGAGCAACGCCGCGUGAGUGAUGAAGGUCUUCGGAUCGUAAAACUCUGUUAUUAGGGAAGAACAUAUGUGUAAGUAACUGUGCACAUCUUGACGGUACCUAAUCAGAAAGCCACGGCUAACUACGUG